This 1492-nucleotide long non-coding RNA is filed under the name Cyanistes caeruleus (blue tit). Its description in RNAcentral is "lncRNA (ENSCCEG00000011010.1)". The record is from RNAcentral. Lineage: Eukaryota; Metazoa; Chordata; Aves; Passeriformes; Paridae.
ACUGCCCAGCACCGCUCCGGCCGGACACUGCCCAGCACCGCUCCGGCCGGACACUGCCCAGCACCGCUCCGGCCGGACACUGCAGCCGCGAGGGGACCGCAGCUCCUCGAACCCAUCGCGUCGCUGGGGGAGCUGCCCGAGCCGGAGGGGAGAAGGGUCCUGCGGUCGAGGAGCUCUGCUCGCAGCCAGGAAGGACCAAAAGCAGCUGGGCUUCGGCCUGUGGCCACAAAACCAAGCGACACCUAUUUGCUUCGAGGCUGUCCGUGUCAAGGGCGUUUGCAGAGUGGCUUCACUCCACUCGGAGGUCUCAGUUUAUCGAGUUGUACGUGGGCAUUAUUGUUUAUACUGGGUGCUGGGGCCAGAACUGGUGGCUCAGGUGCGUGCUACACCUGAAAGAGGGUAUGACAAAGAGGGGUGGCAGUUCGUCCGAAGAAAUUUCCUGUCACCCAGCAGGUGUUCACCACCCUCGCACAGGCUGCCUUCUGAUACUUGUCCUUGGUGGCCAAAAUCCCACACUCCAACCUGCAGAUCCUCCCUAGAGCCCCAGCAGCGAGAUAGACUGUUCAGCAGGUGAUUCUGUGGCUCCCUUCUCCUGUGAGCUCCCCCUUUAUUAGUUCUGUCCUGUGCCUCAUGUGCGAGAGCCAUGGAGUGUACCAACUGGCCUGUCUUUCUGGGAAACUUGCCGUGACUAAAAAAGUAGUUUUCAUCCAAAGCGAAGGUUGACAAAAUACGCUCGGAACAACAUCCUGAGAUGUUUAACUUUAAGAAGCGUAGUUUCUGUGCCUGCAGGAUAUAGGAGAGUGGCAUACAUGAAAGCAGGGGUCUGCCGAUGGGGUAUUGAAUGGGAUAAGGCAGGAGAAAUGUACUUUGUGUUGUGGCAUGUGAUUUAAAGAUGGUCAGAUAUUUUUAAAAUUUCAAUUAAAGAGACUCUGCAAUGAAAUUUUUCAAAUUGCACUGCUGUUUUUCCUCUUGGUUUCUAUGGAAACAGGCCUUUAUGUGAUCAUGCUUGGAUGUGUCUCUUUUACUUCUCCAAUAACUUUUGAAGCUGUUGGGCAGUUUCACCCAAAUCUAUCUCAAAUAUAAUUAAGCUAUUUCAUGAAAACAGGCAGCUAGGUAGGGCUGAGAGAUCCUGUAAAUGUCCCAAAGGCUGUAACAUGAACUUGCCUCUUAUUAAACUGUGAUUCACAUGGUUGAGAGACCAUAUAAAUGUCUUGGUAAUGAGAAAAGUUUCAAUUACAGCUCAUUAUCAGCCUCACUGUAAGUCUGUGGGAAACCAGGGCUCUUCAGUUCAUUCUCCCUCAGAAUUACUUGUGUUCCAGAGGUGGAGCAGACACAAGCAGAGGGGAAGAAAACAUUGAGAAAUUACUAACAUAUCUAUUCUGCAAGUCAUUUCACCCGUUUUGCUGGGGCACCCUGGUCAGAUGUGCAAAACUCUAUGUGUGAGUGGUUUCACAAAAGUAGGCUCAAAAGAAUAAACAAAUCCAAGACCCCA